GCCCUUCGGGGUGCUGACGAGUGGCGGACGGGUGAGUAAUGCGUAGGAAUCUACCUAGUUGAGUGGGAUAGCCUAGGGAAACUUAGGGUAAUACCGCGUAAGCCCGAGAGGGGAAAGCAGGGGACCGAAAGGCCUUGCGCGAUUAGAUGAGCCUACGUCGGAUUAGCUUGUUGGUGGGGUAAAGGCCUACCAAGGCGAUGAUCCGUAGCUGGUCUGAGAGGACGACCAGCCACACUGGGACUGAGACACGGCCCAGACUCCUACGGGAGGCAGCAGUGGGGAAUAUUGGACAAUGGGCGCAAGCCUGAUCCAGCAAUGCCGCGUGUGUGAAGAAGGCCUGCGGGUUGUAAAGCACUUUCAGUGGGGAGAAAGAUCCCUGUACUAAUACUACAGGGGGAUGAUGUUACCCACAGAAGAAGCACCGGCUAACUCUGUG
This 436-nucleotide ribosomal RNA is filed under the name uncultured bacterium. RNAcentral describes it as "bacterial SSU rRNA". It matches the Rfam family "Bacterial small subunit ribosomal RNA", at positions 75 to 507 of the family's 1533-position model. The record is from RNAcentral.